UUAAAUGAUAGCCAGUUCUCUCUGUUUCGGCAGAGAUUGAGCAGGCAUUAACCCUUUGUGAACUGUAAUUGUACUUGGUAGGUUCAUUCUUACCCUCGAAGCUUCGGUGAAGAGAGUGAGAAAGUGCCUACCGCCUUUAUACCAACCCCUAUAUGAUUAUCUGAAAUUGAGUUAAUGAGAAA
This 182-nucleotide unclassified non-coding RNA is filed under the name uncultured fungus. Its description in RNAcentral is "sequence contains ITS1". Lineage: Eukaryota; Fungi. The record is from RNAcentral. RNAcentral also lists the same sequence under 1 other name.